Molecule: long non-coding RNA, 630 nt
Filed under: Fukomys damarensis (Damara mole-rat)
Lineage: Eukaryota; Metazoa; Chordata; Mammalia; Rodentia; Bathyergidae
Description: lncRNA (ENSFDAG00000022543.1)
Source: RNAcentral
CUAUUAGUUAUGGUGGUGGGUGCUUAGAGACACCGAAGCAAUCAUUUAUAAGAUGACAGAAACCCUCCUCGUUCUGAGGUGUGGGUUUUGCCAUCUAAAAUUACCCAGAUGAAACAGAUGUUGCAAAUGUGAGCCCUUAUUAGAAUGUUUUCUUUUCAUUACCCAGCAGAAGGCUGUGUCCCACGCACCGCGAUCGCACACAGAGGAAAUCUGGGACUGGCUCAGCCACCUGUGUCUCCGUCUUCGGCUACCCAAGGAGAUCUGGUUUGAGUCACAGACACAACACAAAAAGCCAGAGCAGAAGCAGCCCACGGAGACCCAAGAAUGGAACCGCCAGGCCUCCUUUACAAUGGCCUUUCUAUCUGCAUAAACCAGCACCCCUCACACUACAGGUCAACAGCACCCCUCAGUGUUCUGCCUCCUUCCUCCGGGUCUGAGUCUGACCUGACCAGCCUGGACCAGGACCAGCAAAGAGGGAGUGUGAUGAAUCCUGCCUCAAGAUGUGCACAGGAUGGCACUGGCACCUCCACAUGUGACAAUGCUCUGGAUCCCCAGAGAAAGAGAGCCAAAGACAGCAGACCUGGGAACACAACUCUGGCACCUGCCCCGCCUUCUUUCUCCACUCUGUGA